GACGAACGCUGGCGGCGUGCUUAACACAUGCAAGUCGAACGAUGAAGCCGGAGCUUGCUCUGGUGAAUUAGUGGCGAACGGGUGAGUAACACGUGAGUAACCUGCCCUUGACUCUGGGCUAACUGCGGGAAACUGUAGCUAAUACCGGAUACGACCCUCGGCGGCAUCGCCUGGGGGUGGAAAGAAUUUCGGUCAAGGAUGGACUCGCGGCCUAUCAGGUAGUUGGUGAGGGAAAGGCUCACCAAGGCGACGACGGGUAGCCGGCCUGAGAGGGUGACCGGCCACACUGGGACUGAGACACGGCCCAGACUCCUACGGGAGGCAGCAGUGGGGAAUAUUGCACAAUGGGCGCAAGCCUGAUGCAGCGACGCCGCGUGAGGGAUGAAGGUCUUCGGAUUGUAAACCUCUUUCAGUAGGGACGAAGCGAAAGUGACGGUACCUAAAGAAGAAGCACCGGCUAACUACGUGCCAGCAGCCGCGGUAA
This 484-nucleotide ribosomal RNA is filed under the name uncultured bacterium. RNAcentral's name for it is "partial 16S ribosomal RNA". It matches the Rfam family "Bacterial small subunit ribosomal RNA", at positions 28 to 523 of the family's 1533-position model. The record is from RNAcentral.